GGCCUUCUGGUGGACGACGCCAUUGUGGUGGUUGAAAACGUUGAACGUGUCAUGGCCGAAGAAGGUUUAUCUCCUUUGGAGGCCA
This 85-nucleotide transfer RNA is filed under the name Limnobacter sp. MED105. Its description in RNAcentral is "tRNA-Phe". Lineage: Bacteria; Pseudomonadati; Pseudomonadota; Betaproteobacteria; Burkholderiales; Burkholderiaceae. The record is from RNAcentral.